Molecule: ribosomal RNA, 434 nt
Filed under: uncultured bacterium
Lineage: Bacteria
Description: partial 16S ribosomal RNA
Rfam family: Bacterial small subunit ribosomal RNA
Source: RNAcentral
AGCGAACGCUGGCGGCAGGCCUAACACAUGCAAGUCGAACGAACCUUUCGGGGUUAGUGGCGGACGGGUGAGUAACACGUGGGAACGUGCCUUUAGGUUCGGAAUAACUCAGGGAAACUUGUGCUAAUACCGAAUGUGCCCUUCGGGGGAAAGAUUAAUCGCCUUUAGAGCGGCCCGCGUCUGAUUAGCUAGUUGGUUGAGGUAAUGGCUCACCAAGGCGACGAUCAGUAGCUGGUCUGAGAGGAUGAUCAGCCACAUUGGGACUGAGACACGGCCCAAACUCCUACGGGAGGCAGCAGUGGGGAAUCUUGCGCAAUGGGCGAAAGCCUGACGCAGCCAUGCCGCGUGAAUGAUGAAGGUCUUAGGAUUGUAAAAUUCUUUCAUCGGGGACGAUAAUGACGGUACCCGGAGAAGAAGCCCCGGCUAACUUCGUG